Molecule: ribosomal RNA, 450 nt
Filed under: uncultured bacterium
Lineage: Bacteria
Description: partial 16S ribosomal RNA
Rfam family: Bacterial small subunit ribosomal RNA
Source: RNAcentral
CCUACGGGUGGCUGCAGUGGGGAAUUUUGGACAAUGGGGGAAACCCUGAUCCAGCCAUUCCGCGUGAGUGAAGAAGGCCUUCGGGUUGUAAAGCUCUUUCGGCAGGAACGAAACGGUCUCACCUAAUACGUGGGGCUAAUGACGGUACCUGAAGAAGAAGCACCGGCUAACUACGUGCCAGCAGCCGCGGUAAUACGUAGGGUGCGAGCGUUAAUCGGAAUUAUUGGGCGUAAAGCGUGCGCAGGGAUGUGAAAUCCCCGGGCUUAACCUGGGAACUGCGUUUGUGACUGUAAGACUCGAGUGCGGCAGAGGGGGGUGGAAUUCCACGUGUAGCAGUGAAAUGCGUAGAUAUGUGGAGGAACAUCGAUGGCGAAGGCAGCCCCCUGGGUCGACACUGACGCUCAUGCACGAAAGCGUGGGGAGCAAACAGGAUUAGAUACCCCAGUAGUC